Molecule: ribosomal RNA, 439 nt
Filed under: uncultured bacterium
Lineage: Bacteria
Description: partial 16S ribosomal RNA
Rfam family: Bacterial small subunit ribosomal RNA
Source: RNAcentral
CCUCGGGUUGCUGUAGUGGGGAAUAUUGCACAAUGGAGGAAACUCUGAUGCAGCAACGCCGCGUGGAGGAUGACACUUUUCGGAGCGUAAACUCCUUUUAUAUAGGAAGAAGAUGACGGUACUAUAUGAAUAAGCGCCGGCUAACUCCGUGCCAGCAGCCGCGGUAAUACGGAGGGCGCAAGCGUUACUCGGAAUCACUGGGCGUAAAGAGCGUGUAGGCGGAUUAAAAAGUCAGAAGUGAAAUCCUAUAGCUUAACUAUAGAACUGCUUCUGAAACUCUUAAUCUAGAAUAUGGGAGAGGUAGAUGGAAUUUCUGGUGUAGGGGUAAAAUCCGUAGAGAUCAGAAGGAAUACCGAUUGCGAAGGCGAUCUACUAGAACAUUAUUGACGCUGAGACGCGAAAGCGUGGGGAGCAAACAGGAUUAGAUACCCCCGUAGUC